This 373-nucleotide ribosomal RNA is filed under the name uncultured eukaryote. RNAcentral describes it as "partial 18S ribosomal RNA". It matches the Rfam family "Eukaryotic small subunit ribosomal RNA", at positions 592 to 976 of the family's 1831-position model. The record is from RNAcentral.
CAAUAGCGUAUAUUAAAGUUGUUGCAGUUAAAAAGCUCGUAGUUGAAUUUUUACUUGCCGCCGAUGUCGGAACUUCCGUACGUUCGGCGGCGUGCAUCCUUGGGUGGAGCCUGUGUGGCAUUAGGUUGUCGUGCAGGGGAUGCUCAUCGUUUACUGUGAAAAAAUUAGAGUGUUCAAAGCAGGCUUACGCCGUUGAAUAUAUUAGCAUGGAAUAAUAAGAUAGGACCUUGGUACUAUUUUGUUGGUUUGCGCACCGAGGUAAUGAUUAACAGGGACAGUUGGGGGUAUUCGUAUUCCAUUGUCAGAGGUGAAAUUCUUGGAUUUCUGGAAGACGAACUACUGCGAAAGCAUUUACCAAGGAUGUUUUCAUUAA